This 119-nucleotide microRNA precursor is filed under the name Marmota monax (woodchuck). The record is from RNAcentral. Lineage: Eukaryota; Metazoa; Chordata; Mammalia; Rodentia; Sciuridae.
UGGAAUUACCAGCUGUCCCAGUUUUCCAGGAACUAAGGGGCUUCCCAGAAUUCAGGGUUUUGGGUGCAGUUUGAGGACAGUUUGAGGAAAACUGAAAUAGUUGGUCAUCCCCUCACUCA